Molecule: non-coding RNA, 136 nt
Organism: Protopterus annectens (West African lungfish)
Lineage: Eukaryota; Metazoa; Chordata; Ceratodontiformes; Protopteridae
Source: RefSeq, a predicted model, not a curated record
GUGACUGGUCAUGAUAAUGGUUGUUUUGCUUAGUAAUGUAAUACAAUCUCAGCUAGUCACAUAGAGUAAAACAGGUGGUGUGUGCCGACAGCAUCCAGCAAGGGUAGUGGAUGUAUGUGCGAUUGCUCCAUACAUU